This 1776-nucleotide ribosomal RNA is filed under the name Silene dioica (red campion). RNAcentral describes it as "bacterial LSU rRNA". It matches the Rfam family "Bacterial large subunit ribosomal RNA", at positions 371 to 2148 of the family's 2925-position model. Lineage: Eukaryota; Viridiplantae; Streptophyta; Magnoliopsida; Caryophyllales; Caryophyllaceae. The record is from RNAcentral.
CUGCGUACGGGUAAGUAAUGAUAAGAUAGUGGUAUCCUGAGUACCGCGAGGUCGGAGACGCCUUGUGGGAAUUUGCCGGCACCAUCCGGUAAGGCUAAAUACUCCUGAGAGACCGAUAGUGAACCAGUACCGUGAGGGAAAGGUGAAAAGAACCCCGAACAGGGGAGUGAAAUAGAACCUGAAACCGUGUACUUACAAGCGGUCGGAGCCCCCAUGUGGGGUGACGGCGUGCCUUUUGCAUAAUGAGCCUACGAGUUACUCUUCACUGGCAAGGUUAAGUGUUUAAGACACGCAGCCGAAGCGAAAGCGAGUCUGAAUAGGGCGUAUAGUCAGUGGAGGUAGACGCGAAACCUUGUGAUCUACCCAUGGACAGGUUGAAGGUGCCGUAACAGGUACUGGAGGACCGAACCGAUAAACGUUGAAAAGUUUCCGGAUGAUCUGUGGGUAGGGGUGAAAGGCUAAUCAAACUGGGAAAUAGCUCGUACUCCCCGAAAUGUUUUUAGGAACAGCCUGGCGGUUGAGUUAUAAAGAGGUAGAGCUACUAAUUGGGUGCGGGGGAGUCAAAUCCUACCAAAUCCAGAUAAACUCCGAAUGCUUUAUAAUAUACGCUGGAGUGAGGCUAUGGGUGCUAAGGUCCAUGGCCGAGAGGGAAAGAACCCAGACCAUCAGCUAAGGUCCCCAAAUUACCAUUAAGUUGAACUAACGAGGUCCGAUUGCACAGACAGCUAGGAUGUUGGCUUGGAAGCAGCCAUUCAUUUAAAGAGUGCGUAACAGCUCACUAGUCGAGCGAUCGGGCAUGGAUAAUAAACGGGCAUUAAAUGGUAUACCGAAGCUAUGGAUUACAUCUAACGAUGUACUGGUAGGGGAGCAUUCUACCGACGGCGAAGCAGGAGCGGCAAGCAACUGUGGAGUUGGUAGAAAAGCAAAUGUAGGCAUAAGUAACGAUAAGGCGGGAGAGAAACCCGCCCACCGAAAGACUAAGGUUUCCUGAUCAACGCUAAUCGGAUCAGGGUUAGUCGGGGCCUAAGGUGAAGCCGAAGGGCGUAGCCGAUGGACAACUGGUUAAUAUUCCAGUACUUUUUAUAAUUGUGAUGCAGUGACGGAGUAGUGAAACUGGCGCGAACUGACGGAAUAGUUCGUUAAAGGCCGUAGGUAUAGGAGACGUAGUUAAGUACGCGACUUCUGCUGAAAGCCGAUAGUACCGCAAACCUUCGGGGGCGUGGAUAGUCCAGGUAAUCAGGCUUCCAAGAAAACCUGCUAAACUUCAGGUUAUAAAAACCCGUACCGUAAACCGACACAGGUAGUCGAGGAGAGAAUCCUAAGGUGCUCGAGUGAAUCAUGGCUAAGGAACUCGGCAAAAUGGCCCUGUAACUUCGGGAGAAGGGGCGCUGGCAGCAAUGCUAGCCGCAGUGAAAAGGCCCAGGCGACUGUUUAACAAAAACACAUGGCUUUGCAAAAUCGAAAGAUGACGUAUAAGGCCUGACACCUGCCCGGUGCCGGAAGGUUAAGAGGGGGGCUUAGCGUAAGCGAAGGUCUGAAUCGAAGCCCCGGUAAACGGCGGCCGUAACUAUAACGGUCCUAAGGUAGCGAAAUUCCUUGUCGGGUAAGUUCCGACCCGCACGAAAGGCAUAACGAUCUGGGCGCUGUCUCGACGAGGGCUCCGGCGAAAUUGAAAUACCCGUGAAGAUACAGGUUACCCGCAGCAGGACAAAAAGACCCCGUGGAGCUUUACUACAACUUGACAUUGGACUAGGCGUUUAGAUGCGUAGGAUAGGU